GGCGCCCUUUAAAAAAAACAAUGAAGUUGAAAACAAUCCUCAGGAGAGUUUCUCCAGACCCUGCUGAGAAUCUGGCUACACUUGCAGGUUGAAUACAGGUACUGCAUUCAACCAUGCAAGUCAAUGGAGCCCAGCUUUCUAAUCACAAUGUGAUUACUAAAAAAAAUAAAUGUGCUAACAUUUAAAAAUAAUUAUGCAGUGAUGUCACCAGAGGGACCAUCCAGUACCAGCAAA
Molecule: long non-coding RNA, 234 nt
Organism: Spea bombifrons (plains spadefoot toad)
Lineage: Eukaryota; Metazoa; Chordata; Amphibia; Anura; Pelobatidae
Exons: 2
Source: RefSeq, a predicted model, not a curated record